Rhipicephalus sanguineus (brown dog tick) is the source of this 403-nucleotide long non-coding RNA. RefSeq lists it as uncharacterized. The transcript is spliced from 3 exons. The record is from RefSeq and is a predicted model, not a curated record. Lineage: Eukaryota; Metazoa; Arthropoda; Arachnida; Ixodida; Ixodidae.
AAAAUACACACUCAGUAUAUACACGUGGAUAAAAGGAGGCUGGCAGUACUUUCGCAUUGAUUAUCCCGGAGCCAUCCUACCUGUAGGCAUAACAACAGACUACGGUGUCUUGCACGCGAAUGACUACUGCCUCAUUACAGGCCUCUAUCCGCAAGAAGGAGAGAGGACCAUCUGUUCGUACUGGGUGAAGCCGCAGCAUGUUGAACAUCGGAACGAAGUUUGUGAUUUCAUUUUUUUGAACUACUGCGACAAUCCUCGGUUCUUUCUGAACUCAACGGUCUCAGGAGAAUGUAGAUGGCCAAAUUAUUGAAAAUAUUUUUAAACUAAUACAAGACUUUUCCAUUCAUUGCGGGAUACUGCUGUUAGUCUACGGACAAUCCUAAAGUCGAAGAAGAUUGUUCGA